Molecule: ribosomal RNA, 292 nt
Filed under: uncultured bacterium
Lineage: Bacteria
Description: partial 16S ribosomal RNA
Rfam family: Bacterial small subunit ribosomal RNA
Source: RNAcentral
GUGUCAGCCGCCGCGGUAAGACAGAGGGUGCAAACGUUGCUCGGAAUUACUGGGCGUAAAGCGCGUGUAGGCGGGAAGAUAAGUCGGGUGUGAAAUCCCUGGGCUCAACCUAGGAACUGCAUCCGAAACUGCCUUUCUGGAGUGAUGGAGAGGAAAGCGGAAUUCCCGGUGUAGAGGUGAAAUUCGUAGAUAUCGGGAGGAACACCAGUGGCGAAGGCGGCUUUCUGGCCAUCAACUGACGCUGAGACGCGAAAGCGUGGGGAGCAAACAGGAUUAGAAACCCCCGUAGUCC